Molecule: ribosomal RNA, 497 nt
Filed under: uncultured bacterium
Lineage: Bacteria
Description: partial 16S ribosomal RNA
Rfam family: Bacterial small subunit ribosomal RNA
Source: RNAcentral
GAUGAACGCUGGCGGCGUGCCUAAUACAUGCAAGUCGAGCGAACGGACGAGAAGCUUGCUUCUCUGAUGUUAGCGGCGGACGGGUGAGUAACACGUGGAUAACCUACCUAUAAGACUGGGAUAACUUCGGGAAACCGGCGCUAAUACCGGAUAAUAUUUUGAACCGCAUGGUUCAAAAGUGAAAGACGGUCUUGCUGUCACUUAUAGAUGGAUCCGCGCUGCAUUAGCUAGUUGGUAAGGUAACGGCUUACCAAGGGAACGAUGCAUAGCCGACCUGAGAGGGGGAUCGGCCACACUGGAACUGAGACACGGUCCAGACUCCUACGGGAGGCAGCAGUAGGGAAUCUUCCGCAAUGGGCGAAAGCCUGACGGAGCAACGCCGCGUGAGUGAUGAAGGUCUUCGGAUCGUAAAACUCUGUUAUUAGGGAAGAACAUAUGUGUAAGGAACUGUGCACAUCUUGACGGUACCUAAUCAGAAAGCCACGGCUAACUACGUG